AUUUGCCCAGCCCAAAAACCCAAACCCUCUACCCAUUUACAACAACAGCCUAAAACCAAUACAAACCCAAUAACUAGCCCAACUACCCUAAACCCUAACAUUUUCAGAAGCCAAAAGCAGUAAGCCUAACCCUAGGUGCGCCGCACCUAGGGUCGGCCACUUGACCUGCCUCCACCGCCCUUGUCACCUCAGCCUCCUGCCGCACCUGCUCCACCUGCAAGGAGAAGAAUACACACAAAGAAAAAGAAAAAAAACAACAGAGAAUAGAAAAAGGGGGAUUUCGGCUUUAUAAGCCCAGAGAAAAACGAUGUAAAGGGGGGGAUUUUCAGUUCUUCUUUUUUCUUUCUUUACCUUCGGCAAAAGCCGAAUUUACUGUAAAAAGGGGGUUCCCUUUUUGAAUCUGGAGUAAUAAAAAGAAAAUAUAGUUUCAAAGAGAUUUUUUUCUUGAUUUCGAUCUUCUUUUUUAUUAUCUCUUUUAUUUUUUAUUUUAUUUUUUGAUAAACGAAAAU
RNAcentral lists this long non-coding RNA (509 nucleotides) under Gossypium raimondii (Peruvian cotton). RNAcentral describes it as "long non-coding RNA (GRAI_LNC001212)". The record is from RNAcentral. Lineage: Eukaryota; Viridiplantae; Streptophyta; Magnoliopsida; Malvales; Malvaceae.